AUGGAUACAAGGUCAUAAGCUGAGUUACCAACUAUCAGAUUCAUGUCUGCUAUAUCAGUCUACAAGGAGCUGACCGUCCGAAACGACGUCGGAAAAAGUUCUACUGUCCAACGACAUCCGAAAUCUCGCAAGUCUAUGGCAACACUAGUCUAAGCCUAGACUAAGGCCAAACAUACUUCAAAUCAAUAUUAUCAUAUACACCACAAGGUAUGGAUGUUCAAUAAUAU
This 227-nucleotide long non-coding RNA is filed under the name Solanum tuberosum (potato). RNAcentral's name for it is "long non-coding RNA (STUB_LNC000116)". Lineage: Eukaryota; Viridiplantae; Streptophyta; Magnoliopsida; Solanales; Solanaceae. The record is from RNAcentral.